UACGUAGGGUGCGAGCGUUAAUCGGAAUUACUGGGCGUAAAGCGUGCGCAGGCGGUUCGUUAAGACAGAUGUGAAAUCCCCGGGCUCAACCUGGGAACUGCAUUGGUGACUGGCAGGCUAGAGUAUGGCAGAGGGGGGUAGAAUUCCACGUGUAGCAGUGAAAUGCGUAGAGAUGUGGAGGAAUACCGAUGGCGAAGGCAGCCCCCUGGGCCAAUACUGACGCUCAUGCACGAAAGCGUGGGGAGCAAACAGG
This 253-nucleotide ribosomal RNA is filed under the name uncultured bacterium. RNAcentral's name for it is "partial 16S ribosomal RNA". It matches the Rfam family "Bacterial small subunit ribosomal RNA", at positions 524 to 776 of the family's 1533-position model. The record is from RNAcentral.